RNAcentral lists this ribosomal RNA (816 nucleotides) under uncultured bacterium. RNAcentral's name for it is "bacterial SSU rRNA". It matches the Rfam family "Bacterial small subunit ribosomal RNA", at positions 8 to 796 of the family's 1533-position model. The record is from RNAcentral.
AGAGUUUGAUCCUGGCUCAGAGCGAACGCUGGCGGCGUGCUUAACACAUGCAAGUCGAGGGAGAACGAGAGGCUUCGGCUUCUCUAGUAAACCGGCGCACGGGUGAGUAACACGUAGGUAACCUACCUUCGAGACCGGGAUAACCUAUCGAAAGAUGGGCUAAUACCGGAUAUGACCACGGGAGUUUCGGCUCCUGCGGUGAAAGAUGGCCUAUGCUUGCAAGCUAUCACUCUUAGAUGGGCCUGCGCGCCAUUAGCUAGUUGGUGAGGUAACGGCUCACCAAGGCUACGAUGGCUAGUUGGUCUGAGAGGAUGACCAGCCACACUGGGACUGAGACACGGCCCAGACUCCUACGGGAGGCAGCAGUGGGGAAUAUUGCGCAAUGGGGGAAACCCUGACGCAGCGACGCCGCGUGGGUGAUGAAGGCCUUCGGGUCGUAAAGCCCUGUCGGAGGGGAAGAAGGACUACGGUGCGAAUAGUUCCGUGGUCUGACGGUACCCUCAAAGGAAGCACCGGCUAACUCCGUGCCAGCAGCCGCGGUAAUACGGAGGGUGCAAGCGUUGCUCGGAAUUACUGGGCGUAAAGCGCGUGUAGGCGGCCUCGUAUGUCUGGUGUGAAAGCCCCGGGCUCACCCCGGGAAGUGCACUGGAAACUGCGAGGCUAGAGUUCCGGAGAGGGAGGUGGAAUUCCAGGUGUAGCGGUGAAAUGCGUAGAUAUCUGGAAGAACACCGGUGGCGAAGGCGGCCUCCUGGACGGUGACUGACGCUGAGACGCGAAAGCGUGGGGAGCAAACAGGAUUAGAUACCCUAGUAGUCC